Molecule: small RNA, 568 nt
Filed under: Pongo abelii (Sumatran orangutan)
Lineage: Eukaryota; Metazoa; Chordata; Mammalia; Primates; Hominidae
Description: retained intron
Source: RNAcentral
CCAGCGUGCUGCCAGGCUGCCGGGUCCCUGCUCUGGGUACUUCUCUGCUUUCGGGCGUCUCGUCUAGAAGCUGCAGCCUGGCCUGUCUCACCUCUACACAGAGGGGCCGCUGGGGCCUGACGGAAAAAGGACGCGCCUGAUGGCCGGCCCGGGGUGGACGCUGCUGCUGCUGCUGCUGCCGCUGCUGGGGGCCAUGGCAGGGCAUGGGCCGCAUAAGAAGAAGUUGAACGUGUCCCAUAAGGUGGGUGCCGGGCGCCCCUGAGGCCCCUGCAGGCCCCACACACGCCAUAAGGUGGGUGCUGGGCGCCCCUGAGGCCCCUGCAGGCCCCACCUGCGGGGGCUGCCACUUUCUGUCAGGAGGCUCUCAAAGGGACACAAAGUGCCUUCCUGGAUGAAACCCUCCCUGAGGCCACUGGCUCUCCUGGCCGCACGCCCAGCUGUGCUGCCCAAGCACACUUGAGGCUAUGGGACGGCAACCCCAGCACCAGGAGCAGCCCUGGACCGCGGUCACCGUACACCAGGCAGGAAAAAGCGGGGCCACGUGGGAGCUGCACCAGUGCGCACUUUU